Molecule: ribosomal RNA, 429 nt
Filed under: Actinomycetes bacterium
Lineage: Bacteria; Bacillati; Actinomycetota; Actinomycetes
Description: Actinobacteria bacterium partial 16S ribosomal RNA
Rfam family: Bacterial small subunit ribosomal RNA
Source: RNAcentral
UAGGGAAUCUUCCGCAAUGGGCGAAAGCCUGACGGAGCAACGCCGCGUGAGUGAUGAAGGUCUUCGGAUCGUAAAACUCUGUUAUUAGGGAAGAACAAAUGUGUAAGUAACUAUGCACGUCUUGACGGUACCUAAUCAGAAAGCCACGGCUAACUACGUGCCAGCAGCCGUGGUAAUACGUAGGUGGCAAGCGUUAUCCGGAAUUAUUGGGCGUAAAGCGCGCGUAGGCGGUUUUUUAAGGCUGAUGUGAAAGCCCACGGCUCAACCGUGGAGGGUCAUUGGAAACUGGAAAGCUUGAGUACAGAAGAGGAAAGUGGAAUUCCAUGUGUAGCGGUGAAAUGCGCAGAGAUAUGGAGGAACACCAGUGGCGAAGGCGACUUUCUGGUCUGUAACUGACGCUGAUGUGCGAAAGCGUGGGGAGCAAACAGG